AUUUCAGAAUCUGUGGUUGAGGAGGAAAAUUCCUUUUCUGAAAAUCAGCCAUUUCCUUCUCUUAAGAUGGUUUUAGAGUCUUUGCCAGAAGAUGUGGGGUUUAACAUAGAAAUAAAGUGGAUUUGCCAACAAAGGGAUGGAAUGUGGGAUGGUAACUUAUCAACAUAUUUUGACAUGAAUCUGUUUUUAGACAUAAUUUUAAAAACUGUUUUAGAAAACUCUGGGAAGAGGAGAAUAGUGUUUUCUUCAUUUGAUGCAGAUAUUUGU
This is a long non-coding RNA of Cynocephalus volans (Philippine flying lemur), 267 nucleotides long. RefSeq lists it as uncharacterized. The record is from RefSeq and is a predicted model, not a curated record. The transcript is spliced from 3 exons. NCBI's taxonomy places the organism in Eukaryota, Metazoa, Chordata, Mammalia, Dermoptera, Cynocephalidae.